This 484-nucleotide ribosomal RNA is filed under the name uncultured bacterium. RNAcentral describes it as "partial 16S ribosomal RNA". It matches the Rfam family "Bacterial small subunit ribosomal RNA", at positions 30 to 507 of the family's 1533-position model. The record is from RNAcentral.
AUUGAACGCUGGCGGCAGGCCUAACACAUGCAAGUCGAGCGGAUGAAGGGAGCUUGCUCCUGGAUUCAGCGGCGGACGGGUGAGUAAUGCCUAGGAAUCUGCCUGGUAGUGGGGGAUAACGUCCGGAAACGGGCGCUAAUACCGCAUACGUCCUGAGGGAGAGAGUGGGGGAUCUUCGGACCUCACGCUAUCAGAUGAGCCUAGGUCGGAUCAGCUAGUUGGUGGGGUAAAGGCCUACCAAGGCGACGAUCCGUAACUGGUCUGAGAGGAUGAUCAGUCACACUGGAACUGAGACACGGUCCAGACUCCUACGGGAGGCAGCAGUGGGGAAUAUUGGACAAUGGGCGAAAGCCUGAUCCAGCCAUGCCGCGUGUGUGAAGAAGGUCUUCGGAUUGUAAAGCACUUUAAGUUGGGAGGAAGGGCAGUAAGUUAAUACCUUGCUGUUUUGACGUUACCAACAGAAUAAGCACCGGCUAACUUCGUG